GGGCCCGCACAAGCGGUGGAGUAUGUGGUUUAAUUCGAAGAUACGCGCAGAACCUUACCAACACUUGACAUGUUCGUCGCGACUUUAAGAGAUUAAAGUUUUCGGUUCGGCCGGACGAAACACAGGUGCUGCAUGGCUGUCGUCAGCUCGUGUCGUGAGAUGUUGGGUUAAGUCCCGCAACGAGCGCAACCCACGUCUUUAGUUGCCAGCAUUUAGUUGGGCACUCUAGAGAGACUGCCGGUGAUAAACCGGAGGAAGGUGUGGAUGACGUCAAGUCAUCAUGCCCCUUACAUCCUGGGCUACACACGUACUACAAUGCUACGGACAAAGGGCUGCAAGUUCGCGAGGACAAGCAAAUCCCAUAAACCGUGGCUCAGUUCAGAUCGUAGGCUGCAACUCGCCUACGUGAAGGCGGAAUCGCUAG
RNAcentral lists this ribosomal RNA (424 nucleotides) under uncultured bacterium. RNAcentral's name for it is "bacterial SSU rRNA". It matches the Rfam family "Bacterial small subunit ribosomal RNA", at positions 917 to 1338 of the family's 1533-position model. The record is from RNAcentral.